GAUCAUGGCUCAGGAUGAACGCUGGCGGCGUGCCUAAUACAUGCAAGUCGAACNCGAGCACUUGUGCUCGAGUGGCGAACGGGUGAGUAAUACAUAAGUAACCUGCCCUAGACAGGGGGAUAACUAUUGGAAACGAUAGCUAAGACCGCAUAGGUACGGACACUGCAUGGUGACCGUAUUAAAAGUGCCUCAAAGCACUGGUAGAGGAUGGGACUUAUGGCGCAUUAGCUGGG
Molecule: ribosomal RNA, 233 nt
Filed under: uncultured bacterium
Lineage: Bacteria
Description: partial 16S ribosomal RNA
Rfam family: Bacterial small subunit ribosomal RNA
Source: RNAcentral